CGGUCCUUCCCGGGGCACCUUGC
This 23-nucleotide microRNA is filed under the name Daphnia pulex (common water flea). Its description in RNAcentral is "Dpu-Mir-22-P2_5p (mature (co-guide))". RNAcentral also lists the same sequence under 1 other name. Lineage: Eukaryota; Metazoa; Arthropoda; Branchiopoda; Diplostraca; Daphniidae. The record is from RNAcentral.